AGCAGCAGCCGCGGUAAUACAGAGGGUGCGAGCGUUAAUCGGAUUUACUGGGCGUAAAGCAUGCGUAGGCGGCUUCUUAAGUCGGAUGUGAAAUCCCUGAGCUUAACUUAGGAAUUGCAUUCGAUACUGGGAAGCUAGAGUAUGGGAGAGGAUGGUAGAAUUCCAGGUGUAGCGGUGAAAUGCGUAGAGAUCUGGAGGAAUACCGAUGGCGAAGGCAGCCAUCUGGCCUAAUACUGACGCUGAGGUACGAAAGCAUGGGGAGCAAACAGGAUUAGAUACCCCUGUAGUCCCUGUCUCUUAUAC
Molecule: ribosomal RNA, 303 nt
Filed under: uncultured bacterium
Lineage: Bacteria
Description: partial 16S ribosomal RNA
Rfam family: Bacterial small subunit ribosomal RNA
Source: RNAcentral